CUGCGCCCUAUUUGGUCAUUCGGGGGGCAAGCGGCGGGAGGGGAAACGUGCGCGGCCGAAGGGGAAGCGGAGCCGGCGCCGGCUGCGCAGAGGAGCCGCUCUCGCCGCCGCCACCUCGGCUGGGAGCCCACGAGGCUGCCGCAUCCUGCCCUCGGAACAAUGGGACUCGGCGCGCGAGGUGCUUGGGCCGCGCUGCUCCUGGGGACGCUGCAGGUGCUAGCGCUGCUGGGGGCCGCCCAUGAAAGCGCAGCCAUGGCGGGUAACAUCUGCAAACAUAGAGAAUUCUGGGCUUCCACACAACUCCAGUGCUAACUCAACAGAGACUCUCCAACAUGUGCCUUCUGACCAUACAAAUGAAACUUCCAACAGUACUGUGAAACCACCAACUUCAGUUGCCUCAGACUCCAGUAAUACAACGGUCACCACCAUGAAACCUACAGCGGCAUCUAAUACAACAACACCAGGGAUGGUCUCAACAAAUAUGACUUCUACCACCUUAAAGUCUACACCCAAAACAACAAGUGUUUCACAGAACACAUCUCAGAUAUCAACAUCCACAAUGACCGUAACCCACAAUAGUUCAGUGACAUCUGCUGCUUCAUCAGUAACAAUCACAACAACUAUGCAUUCUGAAGCAAAGAAAGGAUCAAAAUUUGAUACUGGGAGCUUUGUUGGUGGUAUUGUAUUAACGCUGGGAGUUUUAUCUAUUCUUUACAUUGGAUGCAAAAUGUAUUACUCAAGAAGAGGCAUUCGGUAUCGAACCAUAGAUGAACAUGAUGCCAUCAUUUAAGGAAAUCCAUGGACCAAGGAUGGAAUACAGAUUGAUGCUGCCCUAUCAAUUAAUUUUGGUUUAUUAAUAGUUUAAAACAAUAUUCUCUUUUUGAAAAUAGUAUAAACAGGCCAUGCAUAUAAUGUACAGUGUAUUACGUAAAUAUGUAAAGAUUCUUCAAGGUAACAAGGGUUUGGGUUUUGAAAUAAACAUCUGGAUCCUUAUAGACCGUUCAUACAAUGGUUUUAGCAAGUUCAUAGUAAGACAAACAAGUCCUAUCUUUUUUUUUUUGGCUGGGGUGGGGGCAUUGGUCACAUAUGACCAGUAAUUGAAAGACGUCAUCACUGAAAGACAGAAUGCCAUCUGGGCAUACAAAUAAGAAGUUUGUCACAGCACUCAGGAUUUUGGGUAUCUUUUGUAGCUCACAUAAAGAACUUCAGUGCUUUUCAGAGCUGGAUAUAUCUUAAUUACUAAUGCCACACAGAAAUUAUACAAUCAAACUAGAUCUGAAGCAUAAUUUAAGAAAAACAUCAACAUUUUUUGUGCUUUAAACUGUAGUAGUUGGUCUAGAAACAAAAUACUCC
This 1353-nucleotide long non-coding RNA is filed under the name Homo sapiens (human). RNAcentral's name for it is "long non-coding RNA NONHSAT160669.1". Lineage: Eukaryota; Metazoa; Chordata; Mammalia; Primates; Hominidae. The record is from RNAcentral.